GAUGAACGCUGGCGGCGUGCCUAAUACAUGCAAGUCGAGCGAACAGACGAGGAGCUUGCUCCUCUGACGUUAGCGGCGGACGGGUGAGUAACACGUGGAUAACCUACCUAUAAGACUGGGAUAACUUCGGGAAACCGGAGCUAAUACCGGAUAAUAUAUUGAACCGCAUGGUUCAAUAGUGAAAGACGGUUUUGCUGUCACUUAUAGAUGGAUCCGCGCCGCAUUAGCUAGUUGGUAAGGUAACGGCUUACCAAGGCAACGAUGCAUAGCCGACCUGAGAGGGUGAUCGGCCACACUGGAACUGAGACACGGUCCAGACUCCUACGGGAGGCAGCAGUAGGGAAUCUUCCGCAAUGGGCGAAAGCCUGACGGAGCAACGCCGAGUGAGUGAUGAAGGUCUUCGGAUCGUAAAACUCUGUUAUUAGGGAAGAACAAAUGUGUAAGUAACUAUGCACGUCUUGACGGUACCUAAUCAGAAAGCCACGGCUAACUACGUG
RNAcentral lists this ribosomal RNA (497 nucleotides) under uncultured bacterium. RNAcentral's name for it is "partial 16S ribosomal RNA". It matches the Rfam family "Bacterial small subunit ribosomal RNA", at positions 28 to 507 of the family's 1533-position model. The record is from RNAcentral.